This 367-nucleotide RNase P RNA is filed under the name Pseudomonadales bacterium. RNAcentral describes it as "RNase P RNA component class A". It matches the Rfam family "Bacterial RNase P class A". Rfam says of the family: Ribonuclease P (RNase P) is a ubiquitous endoribonuclease, found in archaea, bacteria and eukarya as well as chloroplasts and mitochondria. Its best characterised activity is the generation of mature 5'-ends of tRNAs by cleaving the 5'-leader elements of precursor-tRNAs. Lineage: Bacteria; Pseudomonadati; Pseudomonadota; Gammaproteobacteria; Pseudomonadales. The record is from RNAcentral.
AGAGUCGGCCAGACAAUCGCGGAUAACUGCAAUUUAUUGCAGUUUUUCGAGGAAAGUCCGGGCUCCAAAGGGUAGAGUGCCAGGUAACGCCUGGGCGGCGAAAGCCGACGGCUAGUGCAGCAGAGAGAAGACCGCCUAAGUCUAUGUUUUGCAUAGAACGGUAAGGGUGAAAGGGUGCGGUAAGAGCGCACCGCGCUUCUGGCAACAGUUAGCGGCAAGGUAAACCCCACUCGGAGCAAGGCCAAAUAGGGAUCCUAUAGGUGCGACCCGCACUGGAUUCGGGUAGGCUGCUUGAGGGCUGCGGCGACGCAGUACCCAGAUGAAUGGUUGUCCACGACAGAACCCGGCUUAUCGGCCGGCUCUCAUU